This 305-nucleotide ribosomal RNA is filed under the name uncultured bacterium. RNAcentral's name for it is "bacterial SSU rRNA". It matches the Rfam family "Bacterial small subunit ribosomal RNA", at positions 335 to 658 of the family's 1533-position model. The record is from RNAcentral.
GGUCCUACGGGGGGCAGCAGUGGGGAAUAUUGCACAAUGGGGGGAACCCUGAUGCAGCAACGCCGCGUGAGUGAAGAAGUAUUUCGGUAUGUAAAGCUCUAUCAGCAGGGAAGAAGAUGACGGUACCUGAGUAAGAAGCCCCGGCUAACUACGUGCCAGCAGCCGCGGUAAUACGUAGGAUGCGAGCGUUAUCCGGAUUUAUUGGGUUUAAAGGGUGCGCAGGCGGUCUGUUAAGUCAGCGGUCAAAGCCCGGGGCUCAACCCCGGCCCGCCGUUGAAACUGGCAGUCUCGAGUUGGAGAGAAGU